This is a long non-coding RNA of Esox lucius (northern pike), 2412 nucleotides long. Lineage: Eukaryota; Metazoa; Chordata; Actinopteri; Esociformes; Esocidae. The record is from Ensembl.
GUGUUUGUUAAAUGUUGAACAGAUUAAUGGCGAUAUGGUGACAAUCGACAGCGUUUAUAUAUAAGCAGAUUAGUUUAUCGUUAAUAUAUAAAAUUACAUGACGCGAUGUCACGGCUGAUCCGCGAAAAUUAACGAGAAUGGCGUUUCUACCAGACAGGAAGUAUCAAUAUAUUUGGUUGUCAAACGUCAACAAUCAACAGAACUAAAUAGUUACGUUUUAUCCAGAAUUCUAAUCAUUGAAGCCUGUAUAGUUCUAACACAAUUUUUAUCUUACGUGAAGAACAAUGACAUGUAACCAAUGACAAAGUUAAGAGGCGUGACUUGCUGGAGGCGCCAGCUGCAACGUAAAGACAGUAAUUAAACCCGCAGCAUCCACAGAAGUCAGCUGUUGUUUCAAGCGAGUAUAUCGUUUCUGUUGUUGAGCGGAAUUAAACACCAGCCGUGUUUGGUAAACACAUUUUUGGGCCUUCAAAUCUUGAUUGAGGACAGCCCGGUGAUGAUACAGAGUACGGACACCCUACCAUGUGGCUGCACAGUAUGAGGGGAUUUCUGUUUCAUUGUUUUCUUUCAUGCUUGAAAGCUGAAGGAUGUCACCUGCAUAGAGGAACUAUGACGUCGGUAACCGGGAGUUGCUGGUAGUCAAGGCUGCACUAGAGGAAUGGCGUCACUGGCUGGAGGGGGCUGAACACCCCUUCAUUGUUAGAACGGAUCACAAAACUCUAGAAUACAUCAGGACGGCAAAACGCCUCAACUCCCGUGAAGCCAGAUGGGCAUUGUUUUUGCAGGUUUUUCUUUUUCCAUAACCUUCAGGCCCGGUUCCAAGAACGGGAAACCCGAUGCCCUAUCCUGGGUUUACGACAAGGAGGAGUUUGUUUCCCGAAGACCUGACUCCAUCCCCAGCCAGUGCGUCAUCGGUACCAUCACCUGGAAGGUGGAGGAGGACAUAAGAGCAGCACUCAAGAACGACCCAGGCCCCGGUAACGUGCCUCCUAUAUGUUCACGACGCCCUCUGUCCUACAGUGUUGAAAUGGGCCCAUGCUUCCCACCUGACUUGCCACCCUGGCAUCGGCCGCACCAAAGCAUUUCUUAAUAGGAGGUUCUGGUGGCCGUCUGUCAAUACGGAUGUCAGGUUGUAUGUUACUGCUUGUCCCACCUGUGCUCUCAACAAAGGUUCCAACCAGCCCAGUUCCGGUCAACUACACCCCUUGCCUGUCCUGAAACGUCCUUGGUCCCACCUGUCCUUGGACUUGGUUACCGGAUUACCCCCUCUGAUGGUAACACUGUGAUAUUAACUGUUGUCGACCGGUUCACAAAAUAUGCCUACUACAUUCCUCUGCCCAAGCUCCUGUCUGCCAGAGAAAUGGCAGACCUUCUUGUCAGAGAGGUCUUUCAACGCCAUGUCAGAGAGGUCUUUCAACGCCACGGCCUGCCCUCAGAUGUGGUGUCCGACCAAGGUCCCAAAUUCACAUCCAAUGUGUGGAAGGAAUUCUGCCACGCCAUCGGGGCCUCUGUCAGCCUGUCUUCCGGCUACCACCCUCAGUCGAACGGCCAGGCAGAGAGGGCCAACCAGAAGAUGGAGUCGACCCUUCGCUGCCUGGCCUCCUCUGACCCCACUCACUGGUCCUCCCAUCUCCCCUGGGUCGCUUACGCCCACAACACACAGCUUCCCACAGCUGCCACAGGUAUGUCCCCAUUUCAGAAUCUAUAUGGUUACCAACUCCCCUUGUUCCCUGCUCAGGCCCGGGGGGUCUAGUUCCUCGUCAACUGGGAGGGUUAUGAGCCUGAAGAGAGGAGCUGGAUUCCCCGCGGUCAUAUCCUGGAUGCCUCCCUCGUCAGGAUUCUGACAUCACUAGACAAGCAAAGAAGGGUUUGCUGGUCCUGACGGCCCGCCUCUGGACCGCUCUGGACUUGACAUUGGACAACAACAUAUUACCCAGCAAUCAUCAUUGCAGAUCUGUAUAUAAAAAAUACUGAAGAAAAUUUGAAAUUAUUAAUUUUGUUGAAUCGUUUUUUAUAGUUUAUAUAUAGUUUUAUAAUGUAUGCAGAAUAAGCACAUCAUUUUGUUAUAGAUUAAUAGUGACUAUUUUACCCAAGAGAAUGAAAACCAUGACGGAGAAGGGAUUGCCUUUUCGAGGGCAUAGCAAAUGGCACCAUUUCUGUUUAAUGAGUGUUCUUUGAAUACAGGUGCACUUCUGAGGCCUGUUCUCUGCCCAUCACAUUUUUGGGGGGCCAAUGACCACUUUAUAAUGUUAAAGUAAUGUCUUAUGGUGUAUUAGACAUGUCAUAGCUUUACCUAAAGCAAUCAAAGAUUACCUAGUAGUGGCUUAUAGGAAUGUUAUAACACCAUGAAAAAGAUUAUGAUGCACUAAUAGUGAUUUGCUGAUCCCAUGAUCCCAUUGGUCCCAUGUUUUG